This 237-nucleotide ribosomal RNA is filed under the name Salmonella enterica subsp. enterica serovar Infantis. Its description in RNAcentral is "partial 23S ribosomal RNA". It matches the Rfam family "Bacterial large subunit ribosomal RNA", at positions 1 to 238 of the family's 2925-position model. The record is from RNAcentral. Lineage: Bacteria; Pseudomonadati; Pseudomonadota; Gammaproteobacteria; Enterobacterales; Enterobacteriaceae. RNAcentral also lists the same sequence under 7 other names.
GGUUAAGCGACUAAGCGUACACGGUGGAUGCCCUGGCAGUCAGAGGCGAUGAAGGGCGUGCUAAUCUGCGAUAAGCGCCGGUAAGGUGAUAUGAACCGUUAUAACCGGCGAUACCCGAAUGGGGAAACCCAGUGUGAUUCGUCACACUAUCAUUAACUGAAUCCAUAGGUUAAUGAGGCGAACCGGGGGAACUGAAACAUCUAAGUACCCCGAGGAAAAGAAAUCAACCGAGAUUCC